GACGGUGGAUGGCAACGAUGUGAAGGAACUCAACUUAAAAUGGCUUCGAAGUCAAAUAGGUGUCGUUUCUCAAGAGCCUGUAUUAUUUGAUUUAUCAAUAAGAGACAACAUUGCCUUCGGUGAUACGACGAGGAAAAUUACUGAUAAAGAAGUGGAAAAAGCCGCAAGGGAGGCGAAUAUUCACCAAUUUAUAUCUUCAUUGCCAAAGGUAAUAAUUCGUCAACACUCAGUUCAAUUAGAAGCGCCUACAUUUUAUAGUCGCAUUCACUGAAGACGAAACUGGUAUUUUGUCUUAUUCUGCGUCACAGGCUGUCGGGGAGCAUAGCAAUAUCAGAUAGAAUGCGUACUCCUAUCUCUACGAAGUAAAAUUUUUGUCUCCACAAAAUGGCGGAUUUAUAUUAAACCGAGUGACAUCAUAACAUGACGUCAUAACAUGAUCUCAUAACGUAAUGGGAUAUCCUUGCACAUUCAUUUAGGGCUACCACACAACACAAUCGUUGGUGAUAAAGGAACAUUGGUAUCUGGUGGACAAAAACAAAGGAUCGCAAUUGCCCGGGCUUUGAUCAGAGAUCCUAGAAUACUACUAUUGGAUGAAGCGACAUCUGCACUGGAUACAGAGAGUGAGAAGGU
Non-coding RNA from Paramuricea clavata, 630 nucleotides. Lineage: Eukaryota; Metazoa; Cnidaria; Anthozoa; Malacalcyonacea; Plexauridae. The record is from the annotation of a GenBank genome assembly.